AUUUCCCCAUAUAUCUUCAGUAUGAAACAUACAAGGUGAUUCUGGAGGACGUCUUGUUGAACCAAGGAGAAAAAGCAAAGCAAUCGCACCUUGAUGAAUCUCCCGGGCCAACUGGGUCAUCUGUUUGGACUGACAGAGCAAAAGGGCAGGGGGAUUAGUCACUUAUUAAGCAGGAGAGCUUGCUCUUUAAUCACUUGCUAUUGGGGAGGAGUUGGAGGAUGUUGCCUUGCACUGUUUCUCACCAUGUCCUGAAUAUGGGAGCCCUGCGAAAACACACUGGGUCACAUCUUGGAACUGGGUACCUCCAUCUUGGCCUCUCAGCAUAUAACAUCAAGUGUGCUUCUGAUUGGUCCUUCUGCAAGUCCAUUUCUCCCACAUAUACCCCUGGUUGCAUCUGGAGAAGGUUUCAAGUGCUCAAAAGCAGCUCAUUACCAAGAAGAACAAAAUAAUAGUUGUGGUACUUCAGGGAAUUAAGAAACCCCACCAUUCAAGUAAACGCAAUGGCAGGCCUGAUAUUGUCGUAAUUGGGUGCAAUGAGGAUAGUUUUGUUGCCAAUUAGUGUUAUAACACACAGUGACUAUAUAUGUUAUACAGUAUAUAGUUUCUCCACAAGCAAACACCAAGGAGGCCUUAUUUCUGGCACAAACAGUGCAGGCCACCACCAACUUUUUGGUGUCUAUUCACGCCGAGGGCCACCAGAACUGCUGAAAGAGGAGGAACCAGGUGCGUUUGAAAUCAGGAUGACAGGCGAUCUUGGCAUAGUGAGCCCAUUCCAAAACUUCAGGGCGAGGACACAAACACACACAAACCCCUCAAGGCACCUGUCUGAAAUGGGAAGCAUCUUACGAGCAUCAGCCAUGUGUCCAAUUCCCACUGAAGACCUCCCAUGAUACAAGACCCCGGUAGGAUGAGAACCACAGGAGCAUCAGGACAGGGCAUCAGGUUUCUUACUACGGGACCCCGGCCGGAAGGUGAGUGUGAAGUUGAACCGGGUGAGGAACAGUGCCCAGCGUGCUUGGCAAGAACUGAGUCGGUGUGCAGAGCGGAUGUAGGCCAAGUUCGACAAAACGACAAACAGAGGCGUCAAGCCCUCCCGCCAGCGCCUCCACUCCUGCACAGCUAGAACCACAGCCAGAAGUUCCCGAUUGCCAAUGUCGUAUCGGGUUUCUAGUCAAGCGACAGGAGAAGGGUUGAGCCAAAACAGGUGAAGAAGUAAACAACUCUUUGACCGUAACAUAUUCCUUGCAGCAUCCUUAGAACACAAAAAGGGCAUUUCAACAAUAACCCUGAAAUUGCACACGAAACAACGAUAAAUGCUGGCGAAACCCCAAAAAAACUUUAAGGCCUUGCGGGAAGUGGGCAUAGGGUACUUAACUGCCUGAACCUUUUUUGGAUCCGGAAACAACUGACCCUUCUUGACAAUAUACAUGUUUCUGGUGAGCGUCCAAAGAAGGAGAAAAAAAUCUAAAGAUAUACGAAUCUAAACAUAAAAGAAAACAAAAUGAUUGAGCAUCCAUUUUCUAUGCCGCUUCUUCUCAUUAGGGUCGCGUGGGUAUGCUGGAGCCUAUCCCAGCUGACUUUGGGCGACAGGCGGGGUACACCCCGGACUGGUCGCCAGCCAAUCGCAGAAAAUGACUGAGCAUAUCUUGCAAAAUGUCAUUGAUAAGGCCCUGAAAUAUGGCCAGGGUGUUGUUGAGACACAUUUGCGUAUAUAAACCAGAUGGUAGGCAUUGUGGACAUCUAAGAUAGAAAAAACAGCUUUGUCAUUGAGCAGGGUAAACGCCGUGUCAAGAAAUGGUAAGGGAUACUUGCUCUUAGCCGUGAUCUUAUAGAACUCCCGGUAGUCAAUACACAGACUUAAAGACUUGCCUUUCUUUUCAACAAAAAAUACAAAACUCUCACCAAGUAUGGACGACAAGGGACGAAUAAGGCCUGAGGCUAGCGACGUGGAAAUAUAUUCCUCUCGAGACUUUUGUUCCGGCAAAGAGAUGUUAUACAGCCGCGAGCUGGGGAGUGGCGCACCCGGGAGUAGCUCGAAUGCACUAUCAUAAGGUCGGUGCGGGGGAAGGGAAAGCACAAGAUCUUUACGGAACACUUAUUUAAGAUGAUGAUACAAGCACGACACAGACGACAAAUCAAUAUCCUCAUCCGUCUGCAACAAGGAUACCCGAAAAGACGUGGGGGCGGAAAGUAAACAAAGAGCAUUGAAAGCAGUGAUCCAAUUCUUGAUCUUAAAGUUAGCCCAGUCAAAUCAUCGGGUCAUGGCGGCGAAGGCAGGUACGACUGAACACAAUGUCUGUGGCGCAAGGAGGCAAAACCAUGGACUCGAUAUGGUUACCAGACAGUGAAAGUCGAAGCAAAUCAGUUUGAUGCGAGACAGUCGCCAGACGACGCCCGUCGAGGGAGUGGACAACCACAGACUUGAUAAGUGGCAGGAUGGGGCUCUUAUUUUCUUUAGCAAAGUUCUCAAUAACUUUUAAGAGAGUAGUAACAUGCCAAAGAGGAUACCUUGAAUUUGUAGUCUCUCAGGUUUGGAGUUCGAAAAGACGCUUCCCACCAGGUGAAGUCCCACAGCUGCAGACCACUGGAAACAAGGACAAACCAGACACCCCAACAGGCAACUGCCACCGAGCUGCAUGGGCUUCUUUUCCUCCAAGGUGAAUCCGCUUGACCCCCACGGCGAGUGGAGGAUGGGACGCUGCAGUCGAUUGGACGCAGGGGCUUGAGUCGGAGAGCGGCAGCAGGCUCCCCACGCUCUCGGAGGCAGGAAUCAAUCCGAAUAGCCAGCUUGAUCAGUAAAAUCCUCACCAGAUGAGGACCCUAGGGUCCAAGCUGGAGCAGAAACAGCACAACGCCUCCUGGUCCAAUCUACUCUCAGCGGACAGAGUGUGGAAAUUGGCUGAGUAGUCAGCAACAGAAAACCUUCUUUAGGUUUAAACGGUCUACACCAAGCAGCUCUCCCCUUAAGUGGGUGGUCAAAAACCUGACGUAAUUAAGCCCAAAAAAGUCUGAGGAAACUAAUAUGUUCAGGUCGUCUUUCAGAGAUAGCAAUAACCCAGCUGGUGGCGCCACAAGAUAAUAUGCUCAUCAUAUUGGCUACUUAAGCACUAUCAGAGUUAUACUAAUUAUACAGAAUAAUACUGAUUAAACGCAUGACGACAAAAAUGUAUGAAUUGGCCACAAGAGCCAGGCUCACCCCCAUGCCUGGUAGAGUGUGGUAGAUUGGGUUCUUUGUGUGGUGAUGGCGGGGAUGUCGAUUCUGCCGGAACAAAGAUGGUGGAGUUGGAGGUGGUUACUCCGGCGGAUGAUGUCAGCUGUGCUUGGAGGGACCUCACGAAGUUGCCAAUAGACUCCAUGUUGGACGAGAGUGAUUGAAACACCUCUGGAAAGUUAUUCAGUGUUUGAUCAUGAUUGUUCAAGCGUGUUCCAUGCGGAACCAACGCUUUUUUAAAUCUUCCAGCUCGGCGAGAUUUGUAUUUUUGGUCAGAGUAUUCUGUUACGUUCAAAUGGAGAGUGAAACGUAAACCCUGGAAGCAGAGACUGGAGUCAAAGGUCAAAGUUCAAAUAGUUAUUUAAUAACACAAAUGGUAAUCAACAGUGAGGAGGUAGGAGAGAACAAAAAGAGCCCCGUGAUUAAAUGAAAACAAGAAAAGCAAAACUGACAAAAAUACAAAGUACAACAAGCAGGAGCAGAAAAUAACCACAACAAAAAGCCACAGUAGGACUUAAACAAAGAUAAAGCUUACAAACUUAAAAACAGGACGGCCAGGACAGGACAUGAAAACAGGACAUAUCUUGGGUAAACAGGACAUUUGGUCGCCCUCGUCAUUGCAGCUGCAACUAGUCGAUGUGUUGUAAUGUAAACGUUGAGUCAAAAUCUGAGAAGGCGUUCACAGAAGUGGGCUGUACGAACCUCUGUCCGAGUCAUAUAAUGACCAAUCGUAGUCUCUAGUCAAGGUGCACAAGGUUAGAUUUUUUUCAAGCUACUCAGCAGGGUUUGCAGUGGGAGGAGCGAACUGGUGUAGUGGAUGCUGGUGCUUCCACACAGGAGCAUACGUAAUCCAGGUUUCAGAGAACUCAAAACUGAAACCAACGAAAUGCAGCAAAGUGCAUACCUGGAAAGCAACCAAGCGUACAAGCAUAUUCAGGAGUUAUAAUGCGUGCAGAGUACGAAAAAUGCGUGUACAGAGGGUAUAGACAUUGACAUAUGAUAUGUAAGACAAACAUUUCCCAUUUUUGCUGUUUUUUUUUACGUUACGUUUUAUUUCUACAAUAUGUCAUGGGCCUAUAAAAAGCAAGUUAUGUGUUGCAAAUGGCCUCUGGGCCGAACUGUGAACACGCCUGCAUUUAUAGCUCUUUGUCAGGGUUGAGUGCGUGACGUGACGUCAACUCUGUGAACAACCACAACUCUCAUCAACUACCGUAAUCUCUGGACUAUUGAGCGCACCUGAAUACAAACCACACCCACUAAAUUUAAAGAGAAAAACGAUUUGUACAUGUAAAUAUAUAUAUACUGUAUAUAUAUAUAUCUGCUGUACCUGUCUAUAAGACACAGGUGUCCACAUCGUAAAAUGGGAUAUUUGGUACACAUUUGGUACCAGAAGAGUCGCCUCUUCAUCCUCCUCCUUCUGCACUUAAACCACUUAACUUGUCUUCUUCAGUGUCGGAACCGACACACCCUGCCACCGCUGCCCUGAGGCAAAUCAGCCCCCGAGCCUGUCCUGUCCUCCCCAGGUCUCAGCAGUCCAGCCCCCCAAAACCCGCCGGCGACAGUGAACCUCCCGACACCACACCACACUUCCAAGAUCCUACGGUCACAUGCAUCGCUCCACACAUUCUCCAUGAUGAGGGUGCGCACACCAAGUGCAAAAUGAGUGCUCCAGAGCACACAAGAUGUUGUGAGACGAGAAUACGACCACAAAUUAUCUGCAUCACUGUAUACGCCGCAGGGUUCAAAGUGUGAGACAAAAGUAGUGGCUUAGACACCGGUAUUUAGCUUGUUAGCUUCCUUUCAUGAUGGUAGUUAAAGAAUGCUAUUGCAGCUGGAACUAAUCAAUACAGUGCAACAGUUAUUUUCUUGCAAAAUAGAGAAGGUAUUAACGGUGGUGGGCUAUCUGAACCUCUGAACAAGUUGUACACACACAAGAAAUUAGGCAAGAGGGUUUGCAGAGGAAGGUGAGAGCAGGUGUAGUGUACGCUGGCGCUUUGACACAGGAGCAUAAUCUGGGUUUCAGGCUCGAAAGGAAACCAGCGAAAUGCAACAAAAUGCGUACCUUGAGAGCAGGAAAGCAUCCAAACGUAUUCAUGGAUACGAAAAAUGCAUAUGUGUGGCAGGUCUGCAAAUACAAACAUGUUAUAGACAAGGUGUAUUUUAAAAACUUUUGCGCUUUUGAUAAACAAAUCCCCCCUGAAGUGUAUGUGAGGCGCCGUGUGUGGCUGACUCGUAUCUCGUCACUGAGUCACUCAGGUUGCGCGCAGUUUGGGCAUGCACAUUACUGAAACUUUAUCCUGCUGGCACUUUAAACCUUCAAAACAGAUUUUUCUGUGAAACUAAAACCAGAAAGCGAGUGCGGACUUGUUGCAGGAUGACUCACUCAAGCUCAAGCUCACCUGCCAUCGACCUUGACAUUUUGCUCGAAUCCACUCUCCUGAGGUGUGUUUCUGAAAAUGUCAGAAAAUUAAGAAAGCAUUUUCUUGCAAGUUACAAACAGAGCGGGAAACCACGGCCUGAUGGCGUGUUUUCUACUGAUUGCGCUGUGACAGCUUCCCUCUCGUGGAAGCUCGUCAGAGGUAAGGACAUCAAAGUACAGGUGGGGAGUUAGUAACAUGGGGGCUGAGCAGGAUGAAGGGAUCGCAUCACCUUAAAUAAAAGGCCAGGCUUCCCACGCAGGCUAAAACAAGACCACUGCAUUUCUAAGGCACAGAUAUCUGUCACCUGUUACGCGAUGACCUUCAAAAGGUCUUGUUUUAUCUCAUGUCUACAAAGUGUCUGGUAGUCCGAGUGUGGCGAGGUUGCGUGCCGUAUGCAAAAGCGCACUAUGUCGAGGCCGAUGUGAUACAUCUUGGUUUAGUUUUUUAUUGUCUGUGUACAGCCGAUAAGAUAACUCAACACAGCCAAAUCGAAAGCCGCCAGUCUAGAAUAAUCCAAGCGUGGUGUCGCAAUGCAUGAGUUUAUACCUUACACUCACUUUAGCCUGCUCUUGCUCUGUGUUCUUACUGACACUAUAUUCAAAAGCUUUUGAGCCUCGACAAAAGCAACCACCACACAGAAAGGAUAAGCGUAGAGCUGCAUGUAACCAGAACUGAUCCUUCGGCAUUUUGAGAUGUUCUUCUUCAUAAAGCAGCCUGCGAGAUACAGCUGUUCAUGCCUCUGACUUAAAAGACACUGUUUUAUGUUUCGAUGCUCUGACAAAUGUUGGGCUCCCUCGGAAUUAUUCAUGUUUCAGCGUCAGUGGCUCUGUAAUGAAAUGGAUUACUGUGAAGUUUUUCCCUGCCAAUUACAAGAUUUCCUCCUCAUUUUUUAAGAAAAUGCUUACAUGCCAAGAAAAAAGUAUUAGCACUAAGAGUGAAAGGUGGUGACGCAUGACUAUUCCCCUACAGCCUUUUUUCUCUUUUCAUUUGAGGUGACAAUAUGAAGGGGUCGGAGCAACCCGAAUUAAACUGCAGCAGUUUUAGGUAAAAAAUAUAAAUAUUUAUGGGUAGAACAAAUGAAAGAACUUAAAGAAAUGACAUCAGUAGGACUGUAUGUUGCGCCGUCUGCCAUACAGCACCACAGAAAGCACCUGUCUGAAAUAAAAACUAGCAUUGUGUUACAACCCCGGCACCAGUGUGGUAUUAAAGUCUAUUACCCUCUGGAGGCAAAUGAUAUUGGAAGUCUAACCAAAGAUUAUAGAACCAUAAAUGUUAUCCUAGACCAGGGAUGUCCAAUUUUUUUCCACCGACGGCCACGUAGUGAAAAAUGAAAGGAUGCAAGGGCCACUUUGAUAUUAGAAAGUUGGAGACCCCUGCAACCUGGACACUCAGUUUAUUCUGUUUUAAGGUAUAUUAAACAUUUCUAUUUAAAAAAGAUAUUUAUUUGUAUUAUUUUAUUCUGUUCAUUUUGUUAUCUUGAGCUAAAAAAUAAUGAUUGAACAAUUUAUUUUCCAUGUAUUCACAUUACUAUAAAACAUGCAUCAAAUUAAAUUCAAGUUUGUGUCAAAUUGUAAAAAAAUCAAAUAGUACAAAAAAACAAUCCGCCCAAAUGUUUAUUUUUUUUAAAUUACCUAUUUGCCAGGGGCCGUUGUAAUUGUGUAACAGGACCCCUGACCAAUACCACUCACCAUAAAUAAAUUGAAAAAUGUUCAGUUAAUCCAUGUGAUCGGUGUCGGCUGAUCGGUAUCGUAUCGUCAGCAAAAAACCCUGAUAAAAGCAUCCCUAAUUAUUACUAUAUAAGCGUGUAGUAAGCGUAUCAAAUGAAAAAACAUAGGCUAGGAAUGUGUGUCAGUCUAUAUUAUGUCUUACUUAGGUCUUACAUGUGCUACUGUGUCUUAUUAUGUCUACCUGUAUUACAGGUGUAAAUGUGAUUAUAGGGAUGUUAUUUCAUGUCUACGGGCCCUAACAAUGUUUAAAAAUGUAUUUAGAAUGUUGUAAACAACAGCUACGAAAAUAUUCUGUUUCUAAAUAAGGAACCCUACGUUCUGGAAAUUCACUUACAGAUGGCCAAAAACAUUGGCAUCUUUGGUUUGCCAACGUUUGGGCAUACCAUGACUGUACCACGGUUGGGAAGACUGUACUGCCAAUGAAGUUUGUCAUUGUGGCUUCAGGACUUCUUACAAUAUCCCAUUGUCAUGAAAGGAAUACACAAUAUGUAUUCUUUAUUCUGUUUAAUCAUGCCCAUUUUUCAAAUAAGAAAUGUAGUUUUCAGAAAUAAAAAAAGGAAUAAUUCAUUUUGGUAUUUAAGUUGUAUUUUGAAGAUAUUUGAGUUCAGUGCCUGGCCCCGAACAAUCAAAUCGUGGUCUCCAGUGAAGGAACUCAUCUGUCAUUGUCUCAUAGUCCAUUAUAGUUUCCCCACUGGUCCUCCCCCAUUCCACUAACAGCAUGUCAUCAGGACGUCAUUGAGCAUUAUGCUAUUCUAGUUGUCACCAAUUUUGUUCCCCUCGUCUCUUUAUUAUAGACUUCCAUCUCCAAUUGUUUUCGUGCUGUAGACUAAACUUGAACAGUGGAGGCAGUUUCUGUAGAAAAUGCGUGUGAAUGCUGACGCUGAACUCAAAAGGCUGUUGAAAUGUAGCAUGAAUAUAUGAAUUUAUGAUUGAACUCAUG
Molecule: RNA transcript, 8298 nt
Organism: Dunckerocampus dactyliophorus (ringed pipefish)
Lineage: Eukaryota; Metazoa; Chordata; Actinopteri; Syngnathiformes; Syngnathidae
Gene: flrt2
Gene name: fibronectin leucine rich transmembrane protein 2
Exons: 3
Source: RefSeq, a predicted model, not a curated record